RNAcentral lists this ribosomal RNA (484 nucleotides) under uncultured bacterium. Its description in RNAcentral is "partial 16S ribosomal RNA". It matches the Rfam family "Bacterial small subunit ribosomal RNA", at positions 30 to 507 of the family's 1533-position model. The record is from RNAcentral.
AUUGAACGCUGGCGGCAGGCCUAACACAUGCAAGUCGAGCGGAUGAAGGGAGCUUGCUCCUGGAUUCAGCGGCGGACGGGUGAGUAAUGCCUAGGAAUCUGCCUGGUAGUGGGGGAUAACGUCCGGAAACGGGCGCUAAUACCGCAUACGUCCUGAGGGAGAAAGCGGGGGAUCUUCGGACCUCACGCUAUCAGAUGAGCCUAGGUCGGAUUAGCUAGUUGGUGGGGUAAAGGCCUACCAAGGCGACGAUUCGUAACUGGUCUGAGAGGAUGAUCAGUCACACUGGAACUGAGACACGGUCCAGACUCCUACGGGAGGCAGCAGUGGGGAAUAUUGGACAAUGGGCGAAAGCCUGAUCCAGCCAUGCCGCGUGUGUGAAGAAGGUCUUCGGAUUGUAAAGCACUUUAAGUUGGGAGGAAGGGCAGUAAGUUAAUACCUUGCUGUUUUGACGUUACCAACAGAAUAAGCACCGGCUAACUUCGUG